UACGGGGGGGGCAAGCGUUGUUCGGAAUUACUGGGCGUAAAGGGCUCGUAGGUGGCCAACUAAGUCAGACGUGAAAUCCCUCGGCUUAACCGGGGAACUGCGUCUGAUACUGGAUGGCUUGAGAUUGGGAGAGGGAUGCGGAAUUCCAGGUGUAGCGGUGAAAUGCGUAGAUAUCUGGAGGAACACCCGUGGCGAAGGCGGCCAUCUGGACCAGCACUGACGCUGAGGCACGAAAGCGUGGGGAGCAAACAGG
Molecule: ribosomal RNA, 253 nt
Filed under: uncultured bacterium
Lineage: Bacteria
Description: partial 16S ribosomal RNA
Rfam family: Bacterial small subunit ribosomal RNA
Source: RNAcentral